UACGGGGGGGGCAAGCGUUGUUCGGAAUUACUGGGCGUAAAGGGCUCGUAGGCGGCCAACUAAGUCAUACGUGAAAUCCCUCGGCUUAACCGGGGAACUGCGUCUGAUACUGGAUGGCUUGAGUUCGGGAGAGGGAUGCGGAAUUCCAGGUGUAGCGGUGAAAUGCGUAGAUAUCUGGAGGAACACCGGUGGCGAAGGCGGCAUUCUGGACCGACAUUGACGCUGAGGAGCGAAAGCCAGGGGAGCAAACGGG
This 253-nucleotide ribosomal RNA is filed under the name uncultured bacterium. Its description in RNAcentral is "partial 16S ribosomal RNA". It matches the Rfam family "Bacterial small subunit ribosomal RNA", at positions 524 to 776 of the family's 1533-position model. The record is from RNAcentral.